RNAcentral lists this long non-coding RNA (475 nucleotides) under Elaeis guineensis (African oil palm). RNAcentral's name for it is "long non-coding RNA (EGUI_LNC000242)". The record is from RNAcentral. Lineage: Eukaryota; Viridiplantae; Streptophyta; Magnoliopsida; Arecales; Arecaceae.
CCUUGCCUUCCUCUCUGACUCUCGGGCAAUGGGGAACUACGGAAAAGGAAGAGGCAGGACUUCAAACAAAGGAUCUCAAGCCCGCAACAAUACUAUAGAAAACUUUCCCGUGAAGAUGGAUUCUUUCCUCUCCUUUCUGUGGAUCUCAUCUCUCUUUUUAUCGUAGGUAAAUGAAAUUGUUGUUUUUUCUUCGGAAGUGGUUUUGUCGUCUUCGGCUUAGACUUUAGUGUUGACCUGUCUUUUCAGCGUAGAAGCUUGCAGGCAGGUUCAGGAGCCACGUUAUGUCAUGGAGGGUCUGGUUCGGAUGGAUGAAUUAUGUUGCAGCCAAUCCCUUCAUCGUCUGGUCGUCAAAAAUGAGCACCUGCAAAAGGAGUCCGCACUGAUCGAAGAUAUCUCUGGUGGAAACCCUCCGACGAUCAAAUCAGAGAGGAGAUUAGGCAACAAUAGAAAAGAAUCAAGGAACCCAACGAAAGAG